Mauremys reevesii (Reeves's turtle) is the source of this 314-nucleotide long non-coding RNA. RefSeq lists it as uncharacterized. Lineage: Eukaryota; Metazoa; Chordata; Testudines; Geoemydidae. The transcript is spliced from 3 exons. The record is from RefSeq and is a predicted model, not a curated record.
CAGAUAGGAAAAGGGGUUCAACCCAUCAUGAAUGUGCAUAAAAUAAAGUGGGUUUUAGCAUAACAUAUUAUAAAAGAUGAUUCCCAGCCUAGGUACCAUGGGACACUCCAGGAAGACAACCACCUACUAAUACCCAGAUCAUUCCAUUUUAUGGGCUUUCUUUCCUUGGGACACCAGAAUUUUCAGGCAACUAAAACAUUUCAGCGAUUGCUCCAGAACAGUACAGAUGUCCUGGCAAAGUCCCUGGAGCCAGCACUUUGAUGCUUUUCUCCAGAGAGACUAUUAUUUUGAACGUUGGAACAGCUAACGCGAGG